This 661-nucleotide ribosomal RNA is filed under the name Leptolyngbya sp. FB001. RNAcentral describes it as "bacterial SSU rRNA". It matches the Rfam family "Bacterial small subunit ribosomal RNA", at positions 99 to 797 of the family's 1533-position model. Lineage: Bacteria; Bacillati; Cyanobacteriota; Cyanophyceae; Leptolyngbyales; Leptolyngbyaceae. The record is from RNAcentral.
CGGACGGGUGAGUAACGCGUAGAAUCUGCCUUCAGGAGGGGGAUAACGACUAGAAAUGGUCGCUAAUACCCCAUAUGCCUAUGGGUGAAAUGAGUUUUGCCUGAAGAUGAGCUCGCGUCAGAUUAGCUAGUUGGUGAGGUAACGGCUCACCAAGGCGACGAUCUGUAGCUGGUCUGAGAGGAUGAUCAGCCACACUGGGACUGAGACACGGCCCAGACUCCUACGGGAGGCAGCAGUGGGGAAUUUUCCGCAAUGGGCGAAAGCCUGACGGAGCAAGACCGCGUGAGGGAUGACGGCCUAAUGGUUGUAAACCUCUUUUAUUCGGGAAGAUAAUGACGGUACCGAAUGAAUCAGCCUCGGCUAACUCCGUGCCAGCAGCCGCGGUAAUACGGAGGAGGCAAGCGUUAUCCGGAAUUAUUGGGCGUAAAGCGUCCGUAGGUGGUUAUACAAGUCAGCUGUUAAAGAGUGGUGCUUAACACCAUAAAGGCGGUUGAAACUGUAGGACUAGAGUUUGGUAGGGGUUGCGGGAAUUCCCAGUGUAGCGGUGAAAUGCGUAGAUAUUGGGAAGAACACCGGUGGCGAAAGCGCGCGACUGGACCUGAACUGACACUGAGGGACGAAAGCUAGGGGAGCGAAAGGGAUUAGAUACCCCUGUANUCAA